This is a long non-coding RNA of Patella vulgata (common limpet), 437 nucleotides long. RefSeq lists it as uncharacterized. The transcript is spliced from 3 exons. Lineage: Eukaryota; Metazoa; Mollusca; Gastropoda; Patellidae. The record is from RefSeq and is a predicted model, not a curated record.
GUUUCCAGCGUCCUAUCAACAACUAACAAUACCGACGAAGCAUUGACAACAAAUGGUGCAACCAAUGGCGAGGAAUCGACAACAAACGAGCUUGAGGUGUCAUUCGACAUCACGGACCGUGGAAGCAUCAACCAAACCAGAGAGGUCGCUGGUAUAUCUUUACCAGAAGACCAACUCAACAGGUCAGUAAUAGCUGAUCAUGAAGUGACAUAUGAAAUAGUUGAGAAUGGGACGAAGAGAGGAAAAGCAAAAUUGGUGACCUACGAUGGAUUUUCCUUCACAGUAAAGAGAUCAUCACCUACUUCUACAACCUGGGUUUGUUCCAGGAAGUGCAAAAGCUUACCAUGUUCAGCCACAGUCAUGCAACGGGGGACAGAUUUCAUACCAAGUGGCAACCACAUCCAUGAUUGUGAUCCCGGGAUUAUGAAGGUUACCAA